This 532-nucleotide ribosomal RNA is filed under the name uncultured bacterium. Its description in RNAcentral is "partial 16S ribosomal RNA". It matches the Rfam family "Bacterial small subunit ribosomal RNA", at positions 355 to 876 of the family's 1533-position model. The record is from RNAcentral.
UGGGGAAUUUUGGACAAUGGGCGAAAGCCUGAUCCAGCAAUGCCGCGUGUGUGAAGAAGGCCUUCGGGUUGUAAAGCACUUUUGUCCGGAAAGAAAUGGCUCUGGUUAAUACCUGGGGUCGAUGACGGUACCGGAAGAAUAAGGACCGGCUAACUACGUGCCAGCAGCCGCGGUAAUACGUAGGGUGCAAGCGUUAAUCGGAAUUACUGGGCGUAAAGCGUGCGCAGGCGGUUCGGAAAGAAAGAUGUGAAAUCCCAGAGCUUAACUUUGGAACUGCAUUUUUAACUACCGGGCUAGAGUGUGUCAGAGGGAGGUGGAAUUCCGCGUGUAGCAGUGAAAUGCGUAGNNUAUGCGGAGGAACACCGAUGGCGAAGCAGCCUCCUGGGAUACACUGACGCUCAUGCACGAUNCGUGGGGUGAGCAAAGCAGGAUUAGAUACCCUGGUAGUCCACGCCCUAAACGAUGUCAACUAGUUGUUGGGGGCAUUCAUUUCCUUAGUAACGUGGGCUAACGCGUGAAGUUGACCGCCUGG